UACAGAGGUGGCAAGCGUUGUUCGGAAUUACUGGGCGUAAAGGGCGCGUAGGCGGCCUUCUAAGUCAGACGUGAAAUCCCCCGGCUUAACCUGGGAACUGCGUCUGAUACUGGAGGGCUUGAGUAUGGGAGAGGGAUGUAGAAUUCCAGGUGUAGCGGUGAACUGCGUAGAUAUCUGGAGGAAUACCGGUGGCGAAGGCGGCAUCCUGGACCAUUACUGACGCUGAGGCGCGAAAGCUAGGGGAGCAAACGGG
RNAcentral lists this ribosomal RNA (253 nucleotides) under uncultured bacterium. RNAcentral's name for it is "partial 16S ribosomal RNA". It matches the Rfam family "Bacterial small subunit ribosomal RNA", at positions 524 to 776 of the family's 1533-position model. The record is from RNAcentral.